UGGGGAAUAUUGGACAAUGGGCGCAAGCCUGAUCCAGCCAUGCCGCGUGAGUGAUGAAGGCCUUAGGGUUGUAAAGCUCUUUCGGCGCAGAAUAUAAUGAACGUAUGCGCAGAAGAAGCCCCGGCUAAAUUCGUGCCAGCAGCCGCGGUAAUACGAAUGGGGCAAGCGUUGUUCGGAAUCACUGGGCGUAAAGCGUGCGUAGGCGGUCUUACAAGUCAGAAGUGAAAGCCCAGGGCUUAACCUUGGAAUUGCUUUUGAAACUGUAAGACUUGAGUACCGGAGAGGUUGGCGGAAUAUCCAGUGUAGAGGUGAAAUUCGCAGAUAUUGGAUAGAACACCAGUGGCGUAAGCGGCCAACUGGACGGUAACUGACGCUGAGGCACGAAAGCGUGGGGAUCAAA
This 400-nucleotide ribosomal RNA is filed under the name uncultured bacterium. RNAcentral's name for it is "bacterial SSU rRNA". It matches the Rfam family "Bacterial small subunit ribosomal RNA", at positions 355 to 772 of the family's 1533-position model. The record is from RNAcentral.